This 464-nucleotide ribosomal RNA is filed under the name uncultured Klebsiella sp. Its description in RNAcentral is "bacterial SSU rRNA". It matches the Rfam family "Bacterial small subunit ribosomal RNA", at positions 338 to 795 of the family's 1533-position model. The record is from RNAcentral. Lineage: Bacteria; Pseudomonadati; Pseudomonadota; Gammaproteobacteria; Enterobacterales; Enterobacteriaceae.
CCUACGGGUGGCUGCAGUGGGGAAUAUUGCACAAUGGGCGCAAGCCUGAUGCAGCCAUGCCGCGUGUGUGAAGAAGGCCUUCGGGUUGUAAGCACUUUCAGCGGGGAGGAAGGCGGUGAGGUUAAUAACCUCAUCGAUUGACGUUACCCGCAGAAGAAGCACCGGCUAACUCCGUGCCAGCAGCCGCGGUAAUACGGAGGGUGCAAGCGUUAAUCGGAAUUACUGGGCGUAAAGCGCACGCAGGCGGUCUGUCAAGUCGGAUGUGAAAUCCCCGGGCUCAACCUGGGAACUGCAUUCGAAACUGGCAGGCUAGAGUCUUGUAGAGGGGGGUAGAAUUCCAGGUGUAGCGGUGAAAUGCGUAGAGAUCUGGAGGAAUACCGGUGGCGAAGGCGGCCCCCUGGACAAAGACUGACGCUCAGGUGCGAAAGCGUGGGGAGCAAACAGGAUUAGAUACCCGUGUAGUC